CAGCCGCCACGGUAAAACGUAGGUGGCAAGCGUUGUCCGGAAUUAUUGGGCGUAAAGGGCUCGCAGGCGGUUUCUUAAGUCUGAUGUGAAAGCCCCCGGCUCAACCGGGGAGGGUCAUUGGAAACUGGGAAACUUGAGUGCGGAAGAGGAGAGUGGAAUUCCACGUGUAGCGGUGAAAUGCGUAGAGAUGUGGAGGAACACCAGUGGCGAAGGCGACUCUCUGGUCUGUAACUGACGCUGAGGAGCGAAAGCGUGGGGAGCGAACAGGAUUAGAUACCCCAGUAGUCCCUGUCUCUUAUAC
RNAcentral lists this ribosomal RNA (301 nucleotides) under uncultured bacterium. Its description in RNAcentral is "partial 16S ribosomal RNA". It matches the Rfam family "Bacterial small subunit ribosomal RNA", at positions 509 to 807 of the family's 1533-position model. The record is from RNAcentral.